Molecule: ribosomal RNA, 472 nt
Filed under: uncultured bacterium
Lineage: Bacteria
Description: bacterial SSU rRNA
Rfam family: Bacterial small subunit ribosomal RNA
Source: RNAcentral
GAUGAACGCUAGCUACAGGCUUAACACAUGCAAGUCGAGGGGCAGCAUGAACUUAGCUUGCUAAGUUUGAUGGCGACCGGCGCACGGGUGAGUAACACGUAUCCAACCUGCCGAUGACUCGGGGAUAGCCUUUCGAAAGAAAGAUUAAUACCCGAUGGCAUAGUUCUUCCGCAUGGUAGAACUAUUAAAGAAUUUCGGUCAUCGAUGGGGAUGCGUUCCAUUAGGUUGUUGGCGGGGUAACGGCCCACCAAGCCUUCGAUGGAUAGGGGUUCUGAGAGGAAGGUCCCCCACAUUGGAACUGAGACACGGUCCAAACUCCUACGGGAGGCAGCAGUGAGGAAUAUUGGUCAAUGGACGAGAGUCUGAACCAGCCAAGUAGCGUGAAGGAUGACUGCCCUAUGGGUUGUAAACUUCUUUUAUACGGGAAUAAAGUGAGGCACGUGUGCCUUUUUGUAUGUACCGUAUGAAUAAG